UACGUAGGUGGCAAGCGUUGUCCGGAUUUACUGGGCGUAAAGAGCGCGCAGGCGGUCGUGCAAGUCGCGUGUGAAAGCCCCCGGCUCAACUGGGGAGGGUCACGCGAUACUGAUCGACUCGAAGGCAGGAGAGGGUAGUGGAAUUCCCGGUGUAGUGGUGAAAUGCGUAGAUAUCGGGAGGAACACCAGUGGCGAAGGCGACUACCUGGCCUGUUCUUGACGCUGAGGCGCGAAAGCUAGGGGAGCAAACGGG
RNAcentral lists this ribosomal RNA (253 nucleotides) under uncultured bacterium. RNAcentral describes it as "partial 16S ribosomal RNA". It matches the Rfam family "Bacterial small subunit ribosomal RNA", at positions 524 to 776 of the family's 1533-position model. The record is from RNAcentral.